Non-coding RNA from Acanthosepion pharaonis, 112 nucleotides. The record is from the annotation of a GenBank genome assembly. Lineage: Eukaryota; Metazoa; Mollusca; Cephalopoda; Sepiida; Sepiidae.
UAUGACCACAUCACACUGAAACAUUGGUUCCCAUACGAUCACCAAAGUGAAGCAAUGUCGAUCCUGGUCAGUAUCUAGAUGGGUAAACACUUGGGAAUACCAGGUGCUGUAA